This 1478-nucleotide ribosomal RNA is filed under the name uncultured bacterium. RNAcentral's name for it is "bacterial SSU rRNA". It matches the Rfam family "Bacterial small subunit ribosomal RNA". The record is from RNAcentral.
AACGAACGCUGGCGGUAUGCCUAAUACAUGCAAGUCGAACGCGAAAGUCCUUCGGGAUGAGUAAAGUGGCGCACGGGUGAGUAACACGUAGGUGACCUUCCUUAAAGUUUGGAAUAACUCUUAGAAAUGAGAGCUAAUACCGGCUACAUUGCUUAGUUUUAAAUACUAAUCAAGAAAGAAUGCCUCUAUUUAUAAGCAUUCGCUUUAAGAUGGGCCUGCGGGACAUUAGCUUGUUGGUGGGGUAAUGGCCUACCAAGGCAUCGAUGUCUAACGGAUUUGAGAGAAUGAUCCGUCACACUGGAACUGAGACACGGUCCAGACUCCUACGGGAGGCAGCAGUAGGGAAUAUUGCGCAAUGGGCGAAAGCCUGACGCAGCAAUACCGCGUGAGUGAGGAAGGUCUUCGGAUUGUAAAGCUCUGUCAGGGUGGAAAAAUGGUAGUUGUUCUAACAGGGCAGCUAAUUGAUGGUACACCAAAAGGAAGCACCGGCUAACUUCGUGCCAGCAGCCGCGGUAAUACGAAGGGUGCAAGCGUUGUUCGGAUUUAUUGGGCGUAAAGCGCGCGCAGGCGGGUUUGAAAGUCAGAUGUGAAAUCUCGGGGCUCAACUCCGAAACUGCGUCUGAAACUUCUUAUCUAGAAUCCUGGAGGGGGGAGGGGAAUUUCGCAUGUAGGGGUAAAAUCCGUAGAUAUGCGAAGGAACACCAGAGGCGAAGGCGCCUCCCUGGACAGGUAUUGACGCUGAGGUGCGAAAGCGUGGGGAUCAAACAGGAUUAGAUACCCUGGUAGUCCACGCUGUAAACGAUGAGUACUAGAUAUUGUGGGUAUUGACCCCCUCAGUGUCGCAGCUAACGCAUUAAGUACUCCGCCUGGGAAGUACGGUCGCAAGACUAAAACUCAAAGGAAUUGACGGGGGCCCGCACAAGCGGUGGAUUAUGUGGUUUAAUUCGAAGCAACGCGCAAAACCUUACCUGGGUUUGAAAUCCGGUGAAUUUGGUAGAAAUAUCGAAGUGCCCGCAAGGGAAUACCGAGACAGGCGCUGCAUGGCUGUCGUCAGCUCGUGUCGUGAGAUGUUGGGUUAAGUCUCGCAACGAGCGCAACCCCUAUCAUUAGUUGCCAGCAUUAAGUUGGGCACUCUAAUGAGACUGCCUGGGUUAACCAGGAGGAAGGUGGGGAUGACGUCAAGUCCUCAUGGCCCUUAUAUCCAGGGCCACACACGUAAUACAAUGGUCGGUACAGAGGGAUGCGAACUCGCGAGGGGGAGCAAAUCUCAAAAAACCGAUCUCAGUCCGGAUUGGAGUCUGCAACUCGACUCCAUGAAGUUGGAAUCGCUAGUAAUCGCGGAUCAGCACGCCGCGGUGAAUACGUUCCCGGGCCUUGUACACACCGCCCGUCACACCAUGGGAGUUGUUCUUACCUGAAGUCGUGGCCUCAACCAGCAAUGGAGGGGAGCGCCUACGGUCGGAGCGAUGACUGGGGUG